GCCGGGUGCAGUGGCGCACACCUGUAAUCCCAGUGGCUUGGGAGGCUGAGGCAGGAGGAUCGUGAGUUCAAAGCCAGCCUCAGCAACGGUGAGGUGCUAAGCAACUCAGUGAGACCCUGUCUCUA
This 125-nucleotide small RNA is filed under the name Marmota monax (woodchuck). Lineage: Eukaryota; Metazoa; Chordata; Mammalia; Rodentia; Sciuridae. The record is from RNAcentral.